AGGCUGCAACUCGCCUACACGAAGCUGGAAUCGCUAGUAAUCGCGGAUCAGCACGCCGCGGUGAAUACGUUCCCGGGCCUUGUACACACCGCCCGUCACACCAUGAGAGUCUGUAACACCCAAAGCCGGUGGGAUAACCUUUAUAGGAGUCAGCCGUCUAAGGUAGGGCAGAUGAUUAGGGUGAAGUCGUAACAAGGUAGC
This 201-nucleotide ribosomal RNA is filed under the name uncultured bacterium. RNAcentral's name for it is "partial 16S ribosomal RNA". It matches the Rfam family "Bacterial small subunit ribosomal RNA", at positions 1302 to 1500 of the family's 1533-position model. The record is from RNAcentral.